This 485-nucleotide long non-coding RNA is filed under the name Hordeum vulgare. RNAcentral describes it as "long non-coding RNA (HVUL_LNC000202)". Lineage: Eukaryota; Viridiplantae; Streptophyta; Magnoliopsida; Poales; Poaceae. The record is from RNAcentral.
CUGUUCUGUUCUGAUACUGUCCAUUGUUAAUGAACAAGGGUCGAGUUUCAGAAACCAUCCUUAUUUUACUUGGAGAUCUUCAGUAGCUCUGAAGUUCUUUUACGCCAUACUCUGCCGCCUUUACCUCAAAUAGAAGAUAAUCUGGAAACUAAACCUACAUGUACUGCCCUUUGCUAAUUAACAAGGGUUAAGUUUGAGUAACAAUCGUUCUUUUUAUUGGAUACCUUCAGUUGCUCUGAAAUUAUUUUACUACUCUGCUGCAUUUACCUCCGAGCAGAAGUUAAUAUGGAAAUUGAUACUUUUUUUUCCAAGUUCUGCUGAUAAUGUGGCAGCUUCUCGACUCGAGUUCCCUUCUAGUACACAAUAAUAAAACCUUGUUUCUUCUGCCUAGAAUACUAAUGAUUUGUCCUUACUCUAUAGAACACUUAAUUUUCUCCUUAACUACUGCAGCCAAAUUAUAGCAUGUACUGUUCUGUUCUGAUACU